AGCAGAGGAGCUUGCUUUUCUUGAUAGUGGCGAACGGGUGAGUAACGCGUGAGUACCUGCCCUGGAGUGGGGGACAACAGUUGGAAACGACUGCUAAUACCGCAUAAGUCCGCAUGGAAAAAGAUUUAUCGCUUCAGGAUGGACUCGCGUCCAAUUAGCUAGUUGGUGAGGUAACGGCCCACCAAGGCGACGAUUGGUAGCCGGACUGAGAGGUUGAACGGCCACAUUGGGACUGAGACACGGCCCAGACUCCUACGGGAGGCAGCAGUGGGGGAUAUUGCACAAUGGGGGAAACCCUGAUGCAGCGACGCCGCGUGGAGGAAGAAGGUUUUCGGAUUGUAAACUCCUGUCGUUAGGGACGAUAAUGACGGUACCUAACAAGAAAGCACCGGCUAACUACGUGCCAGCAGCCGCGGUAAAACGUAGGGUGCAAGCGUUGUCCGGAAUUACUGGGUGUAAAGGGAGCGCAGGCGGACCGGCAAGUUGGAAGUGAAAACUAUGGGCUCAACCCAUAAAUUGCUUUCAAAACUGCUGGCCUUGAGUAGUGCAGAGGUAGGUGGAAUUCCCGGUGUAGCGGUGGAAUGCGUAGAUAUCGGGAGGAACACCAGUGGCGAAGGCGACCUACUGGGCACCAACUGACGCUGAGGCUCGAAAGCAUGGGUAGCAAACAGGAUUAGAUACCCUGGUAGUCCAUGCCGUACACGAUGAUUACUAG
This 715-nucleotide ribosomal RNA is filed under the name uncultured bacterium. Its description in RNAcentral is "bacterial SSU rRNA". It matches the Rfam family "Bacterial small subunit ribosomal RNA", at positions 71 to 819 of the family's 1533-position model. The record is from RNAcentral.